CCUACGGGACGCAGCAGUGGGGAAUAUUGCACAAUGGGCGAAAGCCUGAUGCAGCAACGCCGCGUGAAGGAAGAAGGGUUUUGGCUCGUAAACUUCUAUCAACAGGGACGAAAGAAAUGACGGUACCUGAAUAAGAAGCCCCGGCUAACUACGUGCCAGCAGCCGCGGUAAUACGUAGGUGGCAAGCGUUGUCCGGAAUUACUGGGUGUAAAGGGAGCGCAGGCGGGAAGCCAAGUCAGCUGUGAAAACUACGGGCUUAACUUGUAGACUGCAGUUGAAACUGGUUUUCUUGAGUGAAGUAGAGG
Molecule: ribosomal RNA, 305 nt
Filed under: uncultured bacterium
Lineage: Bacteria
Description: bacterial SSU rRNA
Rfam family: Bacterial small subunit ribosomal RNA
Source: RNAcentral